This 125-nucleotide unclassified non-coding RNA is filed under the name uncultured Hypocreales. Its description in RNAcentral is "sequence contains ITS1". Lineage: Eukaryota; Fungi; Ascomycota; Sordariomycetes; Hypocreales. The record is from RNAcentral.
UCGAGUUCUAAACUCCCAAACCUUUGUGAACAUACCUAUGUUGCCUCGGCGGGGGUUAGCCCGCCGGCGGCCAACCAAACUCUGUUUUCUUUACGAAUCUCUGAGUACAACUAUAAAAUAAAUUA